RNAcentral lists this long non-coding RNA (318 nucleotides) under Struthio camelus australis. RNAcentral's name for it is "lncRNA (ENSSCUG00000013602.1)". The record is from RNAcentral. Lineage: Eukaryota; Metazoa; Chordata; Aves; Struthioniformes; Struthionidae.
AUGGAUAAUCUAACAUUUGCAACAAAGGUCAGAUGUCUCCAGUCUGCUAUGAAUACAUUCCACGUAGGUUCUUCUAUCUCCUGUUCUGGCACAUUGAUGGGAAUGCCCUCUACCAUCCCACAGAUUAUGUACUGCUGCAGUAUAGCAAAUUUGACCAGAAGGAGAAGAAUUUUGUCCAUUGGCAGCAGUGACCAGAAGCAGAGAAUCUACAAAAUCAUAAAUGCCUCAGCUAAAUGUUCAGGGAGGCUAAAAGCACUUUAUACAGCUUCCCCUAAAACACAGGAUCAUUUGGAUACAGCAUUAAGAUUUUACACAUGA